RNAcentral lists this ribosomal RNA (358 nucleotides) under Auxenochlorella pyrenoidosa. RNAcentral's name for it is "bacterial SSU rRNA". It matches the Rfam family "Bacterial small subunit ribosomal RNA", at positions 386 to 767 of the family's 1533-position model. The record is from RNAcentral. Lineage: Eukaryota; Viridiplantae; Chlorophyta; Trebouxiophyceae; Chlorellales; Chlorellaceae.
GUGCCGAUAAAACGCGUGAUGAGACGUCGUGGACUGUAAGCUCUUUUCUAAGGAAGAUAACGACGGUACUUAAGGAAUAAGCACCGGCUAACUCCGUGCCAGCAGCCGCGGUAAUACGGGGGGUGCAAGCGUUGUCCGGAAUGAUUGGGCGUAAAGCAUCUGUAGGUGGUCUCUAAAGUCAACUGUCAAAUCCCAGAGCUUAACUUUGGACAGGCGGUUGAGUACUUAGGAACUUGAGUAUGGUAGGGGUAGAGGGAAUUCCUUGUGGAGCGGUGAAAUGCACAGAGAUAAGGAGGAACACCAGUGGCGAAAGCGCUCUACUGGGCCAUGACUGACACUGAGAGAGACAGCAGGGGGC